AUGACAAUGGCUAUGGCCCCGUGCCAGCACGGUGGAAAGGAAAAAUGUCAGACUGGCGAGGAGUUCAACGCCACUAGUUGCAACAGAAAGAUCAUUGGCGCGCGGUGGUAUGGCCGUGGCAUCAGUGCCGAGUCACUAAAGAGCGACUAUAAGUCGCCUAGGGACCUCAGCGGCCAUGGCACACACGUCGCAUCAACUAUCGCUGGCCGGGAGGUGCAGGGUGUGAGCUACGGAGGCCUAGGCAUGGGCGUGGCACAUGGUGGGGCACCACGUGCGCGGCUCGGUAUCUACAAGGUGUGCUGGGUGGAUGAGGGUUGCCCUGACGCGGCGGUCCUUGCUGCCAUCGACGACGCCAUACAUGACAGGGUGGACGUCUUGUCGCUCUCGGUUGGAGGGGUUGGUCAGGAGUACUCUGGGACGUUGCAUGCUGUGCAAAGAGGGAUCUCUGUUGUGUUUGCCGGAGGGAAUGAUGGCCCUGUGCCACAGACCGUGACGAAUGCCGUGCCGUGGGUUACGACGGUGGCUGCUAGCACGAUUGACCGGUCUUUUCCGACCUUGAUAUCGCUCGGGAACAAUGAAAAGCUGGUGGGGCAAUCUCUAAAUUACAAUGCAGCUAUGAACAACAGCGGCUUUCAGGACCUUGUUUGUCCGGGGAGCUGCGAAGCAGAAUCACUGGCGCUGGGCAAUGUCACGGGCAAAACCGUCCUCUGUUAUGCACCAGCAGAGGCAUCGUGGUGGCCGCCCCAGAUAUCACUCCCUUAUGCCAUCAAUCAUACUAUUGAGGCCGGUGCGAAGGGCCUCAUCUUCGCACAGUACACUGCCAACAAUCUCGACAGCCUGACUGCAUGCGAGGGAUUCAUGCCUUGCGCGCUGGUGGAUUUCGAGAUCGCGCAUCGAAUUUUCUCCUACUGGGACAUGGCUGACCAUCCAGUGGUGAAGGUGUCCCCGGCUGUAAGCGUUGUUGGAAAUGGGGUCUUGUCGCCAAGGGUCGUCUCGUUCUCGUCCAGAGGUCCAAGCCUAUUGUUCCCCGGCAUACUCAAGCCCGACAUUACUGCUCCUGGCGUCAACAUCUUGGCGGCAGUGCGCGGCUCCUACGUGUUCUAUUCCGGGACAUCAAUGGCGUGCCCACAUGUCUCCGCAGUGACCGCGAUGCUCAAGUCGGUUCACCCUCAGUGGUCACCUGCCAUGAUCAAGUCGGCCAUCGUCACCACAGCAUCCGUGACCGAUCGUUUUGGCAUGCCAAUCCAAGCAGAAGUCGUCUCAAGGAAACUAGCCGACCCCUUCGACUUUGGUGGUGGACACAUUGACCCAGAUAGAGCCGUUGACCCUGGCUUGGUUUAUGACGUUGAUGCAAGGGAGUACAACAAGUUUUUCAACUGCACCCUUGGAUAUUUAGGCGGUUGUGAGUCCUACUACCUCAAUCUCAACCUCCCAUCAAUUGCCGUGCCAGACCUCAAGGACCAUGUCAUGCUUCGGCGCACCAUGACUAACGUUGGGCCAGCAGAAUCAACAUAUCAUUUAGUGGUUGAAGCUCCAGCGGGGAUAGAUGUAUCCGUAGAGCCAUCUGUGAUCAAUUUCACCCAAAGCAGUAGUAAAAGCGCGACGUUUAUGGUGACAUUCACAACAAGGCAGAGAGUACAAGGAGGAUACACUUUCGGGAGCUUGACAUGGUCAGACGGAAGUACCCACUCAGUGAGAAUUCCUAUUGCGGUACGGACUGUGAUACAAGACUUUGUUGCAGAUACAUCUUAA
This 1752-nucleotide ribosomal RNA is filed under the name Triticum aestivum (bread wheat). Its description in RNAcentral is "partial small subunit ribosomal RNA". The record is from RNAcentral. Lineage: Eukaryota; Viridiplantae; Streptophyta; Magnoliopsida; Poales; Poaceae.